Dipodomys ordii (Ord's kangaroo rat) is the source of this 70-nucleotide non-coding RNA. NCBI's taxonomy places the organism in Eukaryota, Metazoa, Chordata, Mammalia, Rodentia, Heteromyidae. The record is from Rfam.
GGGAAUGUGGCUUAGUGGUAGAGUGCUUGCCUACCAUGCAUGAAGCCCUGGGUUCGAUUCCUCAGUACCA